RNAcentral lists this unclassified non-coding RNA (307 nucleotides) under Hevea brasiliensis (rubber tree). The record is from RNAcentral. Lineage: Eukaryota; Viridiplantae; Streptophyta; Magnoliopsida; Malpighiales; Euphorbiaceae.
CCACCACAAGAGCUGCCGCAGGCGGCCCUGCACCCGCAAUUCUUUCAGUCUCAAGCUGAUACGAUGAGAGAUUACUUGGUGUACUCCCAGCUGUUACAGAGCACUGGGGACAUGCAUGGAACUCAACCAUCGAGUUUGCUAGAGCAGAUGUUUUAUAAUCAGCAAUUGGCUUCUCUACAAUCAAGUUUUCCACUGUCUUCUUCUCUAUCUUCUUUGUCUUCAUUAUCUUCCUCCAUUUCAGCUCCUUCAAUUGCAGCGUUUUCUUCUGGGUCAUUAUCAUCAUCAUCUUCAUCCUCUGCUUCACUUC